UGAAUACGAGAUGCUACGGCGUCGAAGCAGUCUAUGUCAUACUUCCAAGAAAAGCUUGCACUGUCAUAAACAAAUAAUGCCUGUACCAUAACCGACACAGGUGGGUAGGUAGAGUAUACUAAGGGGCGCGAGAUAACUCUCUCUAAGGAACUCGGCAAAAUGACUCCGUAACUUCGGGAGAAGGAGUGCCUUAUUUAUAAGGUUGCAAUAACAAGAUCCAAGCAACUGUUUACCAAAAACACAGGUCUCCGCUAAGUCGUAAGACGAUGUAUGGGGGCUGACGCCUGCCCAGUGCCAGAAGGUUAAAGAAGUUGGUUAGCAUCCGCGAAGCUGAUAACUGAAGCCCUGGUGAACGGCGGCCGUAACGAUAACGGUCCUAAGGUAGCGAAAUUCCUUGUCGGGUAAGUUCCGACCCGCACGAAAGGCGUAAUGAUUUGGAUACUGUCUCGGAGAGGGGCUCGGUGAAAUAGACUUGUCUGUGAAGAUGCGGACUACCUGCACCAGGACAGAAAGACCCUAUGAAGCUUUACUGUAACCUGAAAUUGAAAUUGGACUUUACUUGCGCAGUAUAGGUGGGAGGCGUUGAGAAUAUUCUUGCGGGAUUAUUGGAGCCAUCAGUGAGAUACCACUCUUGUAAUGUUAGAUUUCUAACUUUGUAUCAUUAUCUGGUCAAAGAACAGUUUCAGGCGGGCAGUUUGACUGGGGCGGUCGCCUCCUAAACGGUAACGGAGGCGCACAAAGGUUUCCUCUGAACGGGUAGAAAUCGUAUCUAGAGUGUAAAGGCAUAAGGAAGCUUGACUGUGAGACCUACAAGUCGAGCAGGGACGAAAGUCGGUCUUAGUGAUCUGACGGUGCUGAGUGGAAAGGCCGUCACUCAACGGAUAAAAGUUACUCUAGGGAUAACAGGCUGAUCUCCCCCAAGAGUUCACAUCGACGGGGAGGUUUGGCACCUCGAUGUCGGCUCAUCGCAUCCUGGGGCGGUAGUACGUCCCAAGGGUUGGGCUGUUCGCCCAUGAAAGCGGUACGCGAGCUGGGCUCAGAACGUCGUGAGACAGUUCGGUCCAUAUCCGGUGUAGGCGUUAGAAUAUUGAGAGGAGCCUUCUUUAGUACGAGAGGACCGAGAAGGACAUACCUCUGGUGUACCAGUUAUCGUGCCAACGGUAAACGCUGGGUAGCUAUGUGUGGAGUGGAUAACCGCUGAAAGCAUCUAAGUGGGAAGCCCACCUCAAGAUAAGUAUUCUCU
This 1243-nucleotide ribosomal RNA is filed under the name metagenome. Its description in RNAcentral is "bacterial LSU rRNA". It matches the Rfam family "Bacterial large subunit ribosomal RNA", at positions 1564 to 2816 of the family's 2925-position model. The record is from RNAcentral.